Long non-coding RNA from Dermochelys coriacea (leatherback sea turtle), 524 nucleotides. RefSeq lists it as uncharacterized. The transcript is spliced from 2 exons. The record is from RefSeq and is a predicted model, not a curated record. Lineage: Eukaryota; Metazoa; Chordata; Testudines; Dermochelyidae.
GCUCACAGCUGAUUCCCCUGGAAACUUUCCAAAGUCAGCUUCCUCAGACAACUGUUUCAGCUUUCUUAUAAGGAACCAGCUGCUUGUGUUCUGUUCUCACACCAGGUGUCCUAGUUAGGUCAUUUAGCAAGCUUGCUCCAAGCAUCAAGUCUCCUACAGGCAGCUCUUUUAUUCCUUUUGCUCUCUUACAAAUCCAACAAGCUUAUCUAGGAGCUUGAACAAAGGGAUGAAUUUUAAAGGACCUAGAGCUGAAGCUGAAGCCCCUAGGGAAGGCAGAUAAAGAGUCUAGUAAAUAAACAAUCUGAUAUUCCAGAAGAGGUUCAUUUGGACUUUGUGAGUUGGCCGGAGGCCCAAGCCACUGAAGACCCACCAAAGUUGGCCAGAAGCCUACAGAGGGCACCACAUGCAAGAAAGACUGUGAUAUCUUGCCACUCUAAGACAUGUCAUGGUCCUGCUGCAAGAUGGCACUUCAUGGGGCCUCGUGCACCCAGAGGGGAGGACUGGUGUGAGGAAAAAUUGGAAGA